This 389-nucleotide ribosomal RNA is filed under the name uncultured Streptococcus sp. Its description in RNAcentral is "bacterial SSU rRNA". It matches the Rfam family "Bacterial small subunit ribosomal RNA", at positions 991 to 1382 of the family's 1533-position model. The record is from RNAcentral. Lineage: Bacteria; Bacillati; Bacillota; Bacilli; Lactobacillales; Streptococcaceae.
GAUGCAUUUCUAGAGAUAGAAAGUUACUUCGGUACAUCGGUGACAGGUGGUGCAUGGUUGUCGUCAGCUCGUGUCGUGAGAUGUUGGGUUAAGUCCCGCAACGAGCGCAACCCCUAUUGUUAGUUGCCAUCAUUCAGUUGGGCACUCUAGCGAGACUGCCGGUAAUAAACCGGAGGAAGGUGGGGAUGACGUCAAAUCAUCAUGCCCCUUAUGACCUGGGCUACACACGUGCUACAAUGGUUGGUACAACGAGUUGCGAGUCGGUGACGGCGAGCUAAUCUCUUAAAGCCAAUCUCAGUUCGGAUUGUAGGCUGCAACUCGCCUACAUGAAGUCGGAAUCGCUAGUAAUCGCGGAUCAGCACGCCGCGGUGAAUACGUUCCCGGGCCUU